This 303-nucleotide ribosomal RNA is filed under the name Triticum aestivum (bread wheat). RNAcentral describes it as "partial small subunit ribosomal RNA". The record is from RNAcentral. Lineage: Eukaryota; Viridiplantae; Streptophyta; Magnoliopsida; Poales; Poaceae.
AUGGAAAGAAAGUCUCUUCUUUCCACAACUCCUAAAUUUCCCAUCAGCCUAUCCAAUCUAAUUCCAGACAGAGGGCAUUUCAACGAGCAAACUAAUCCAAUCCCACAAAGGAUUGUUCAUGGAAAUACUAUCGAAAUUAUUCGGACCAUAUUUCCAAGUGUCAUUCUUUUGUUCAUUGCUAUACCAUCGUUUGCUCUGUUAUACUCAAUGGACAGGGUAUUAGUAGAUCCAGCCAUUACUAUCAAAGCUAUUGGACAUCAAUGGUAUCGGAGUGCGCCUCUUAACGAGGGUGAUAAGGAGUAG